UUUAGCACUUUCCUUUCAUUCAUAGGGAUCUACUCAAGGUAGUCCAGCUUGCGCCGUGCCUAAUGGCCCCGUGGUAGUAUACACUCCCCACGGCAAUCCACUUCGGCACCCAAUCCCGCACGGGCGAGCAACUGUCGCGUAGGCCAACUCCGGAGUGCCGGCUUGUAGGGAGCUACCCUCACAAGCGUGUGCGAAUGAGCACGAUGGCAAGCAAGAAAAGUCCAUUAUCCACAUGUCUCAAUUUUCAUAUUUUCACAUACAAAGUUCAGAACCCUCGAUCCUCUGAUCGGAAUAUCAAUACACAAAUAGUAACAAAAGCUAAAGGGUAAAGCUAAAUCACAUAGCAUUAUAAUCUUUCCACUAGUAUGGCACUAUCAACAUAGUCAUGAGCAUGUCAUAGUUCCCUAUGUUAGAGUCAAGAGAAUGUCCUGGUUCUCUACAAAGUCACGAGAAUAUCGUUGUUCUCUACUCUACUAAAGCAGCCUUAGUAUGUCCAUUAGUUAUCUUAACUAAAUAUGAACAUAAACAUAGGCAUAAAGACACUUAUGCAUGAGUACUCUCUACUUCAUAGAGGUUCUAUUCAAUCAUAUGUAUACAUAUCAACACUAUAAUAUCGUGACUCGUCUCAAAUUCUGUAUCAAUCACAAAAACAUACAACUGUAUCAAUUCUAUAGUACAUAUAGAACAUAAAGGAGCUUCACUUGCUCUGGUUAGGUCCGACCCACCUAGUACUAGGCUCCGAUUAUCCACAAGAAGUCCCACAACGGCUCAACGAAGCCCCAAUGCUGCAGAAAAACGAACGUCAAGAUCGGAUUAAAUCUACGGCCGAAAUGUCCGAUUUCGACCUAAAUUUCACUUAGUACAAAGUAACUCUUUAAAUCCCUGUUUUGGGACUAGUGUAAUACCUCAAGAGACGCCUCCAAGAGCUCUCACAAGUCAGCUCACGACGAUCCAAAGCUCGUUCGCACUCUCGCUGCGAACAACAUCGAGACGGCAUCAAUAUCAACAUAUAUAGCAAAUAUAGUCGGAAUCUUGCAAAUUCAGUUUUCUAACUGAAAUUCCUGCUUACCUCAGGUUAGAAUAUCUUCCAAACCAGCUUCUAAGGGUACAAAUUCAGCUCAACGAAGCUUGAAGACCUGCUGCGAAGAAAUAAUUCUAAAUUGUAUCAAUUCGCGUAACAAUUUGCAUUUCGUUCCAAUAUAGCUUCAUAAAUGGCUAAAUAUUCCAAUUAAGCUUCAAAGUAGCUUAUUCCAGGUCUAAGAAGGUUAAUUCACAGCUAAAUAAUCCAAUUUUAAUUGCUGAAAUCUCAGAUUAAAGCAACUAGAAGCAAUAGCUCAAAAGCAACACAUAAACGUCUACUCGAACGUCGAUAAUGGAGAAAAUCGAGUCGUUUACCUUCUCAAGCCUCCAACCAGCACCCUACUGGUUCAGGACAGCAAAGAGCCUUCCAAAACACUCCCUCACACGUGCACAAAGGUGCUGCAACGCUCACAAAUAGCGAAGAACGCACGCGGCGACGAAAACGAGCGAAAUCGGCGAACUCGACGUAGAGAGAGAAAAACCCUAGAGAGAGAGAGAGAAGAAGGGAAGAGAAGCUUUCCCAGAACUCUUGCAUACUCCACUGAAGUCCCAGAGCCGUGCUGGGAUCAAAUAGGUAGGUAUCCAAUGUGAAAUUACCAAAAUACCCAAGCUGCCACGAAUCUGCCAGCUUGUACCGGUACAAGGUGAUGGCUGUACCGGUACAGCAAGCAGAAAAAUGCUGAGAUUUCGCAGGUCAAUGCAUUUUCUUAUUUUUUGCAUUCCAAUCACUCUCAAACUUGUCCCAACACUUGUUCUAACCUUUUAGAACAUGUAGGAGUGACCCACACACCAUUCCACACACUCGAACUUCGCAAUUUGCAAAAGUUCAGUGUAUUACAUUCACCCCUCCUAAAAAGAAGUUUCGUCCGCGAAACUUGAAAUCACUUACCUCAAGAUUCUGUCGAGAAAAGAUAGGGAUAGUGCUCUUGCAUUGCACUUUCCAGUUCCCAAGUGGCUUCCCGUUCCUCGUGAUUGCUCCAAAGGAUUUUCACGUAGGGUAUCUCGCGAUUACGAAGCCGUUUCACUUCUCGAGCUAGUAUCCUCACUGGAUGCUCCUCGAAGCUCAAAUCUUCUUGUAAAUCCACUGGAGCACUCUCAAGUAUGUGUGUUGGAUCAAAUACAUAGUUCCGAAGUGUGGACACAUGAAACACAUUAUGCACUCCCGAUAGGUUCGGCGGCAAAGCAAGCCGAUAUGCUACGGGGCCUAUCCGCUCCAACACCUCGUAGGGUCCAAUAAAUCGAGGGCUUAACUUUCCUCGAAUGCCAAAUCUUUUAACUCCUUUCGUCGGUGAAACCUUCAAAAAUACAUGAUCGCCGACUUGAAAUUCCAGUUCUCGCCGACGUUUAUCCGCAUAACUCUUUUGUCGACUUUGAGCUGUCAGUAGACGUUCUCGCGCAAGUCGCACUUUAGCUUCAGCUUCUUGCAGUACAUCUGGACCCAACACUAACCUCUCACCCACUUCACUCCAAUGAAGUGGUGAUCUACACUUUCUACCAUACAGGGCUUCAAACGGUGCCAUCUGAAUACUUGCGUGAUAACUGUUGUUAUAAGCAAAUUCAGCCAUCGGGAGGAACUGUGGCCAACUGCCCUGGUAGUCAAUCACACAGGCCCUCAACAUAUCCUCAAGGGUCUGGAUGGUACGCUCAGACUGCCCAUCACUCUGGGGGUGGAAAGCAGUACUAAAAUCCAAUCGGGUACCCAAGGCCUCCUGUACACUUCUCCAGAAAUGUGAAACAAAUCGGGUAUCUCGGUCAGAAACAAUAGAGACUGGUACUCCAUGUAAUCGCACAAUUUCGUCAAGGUACACUUGUGCGAGUCUCUCCCCUGACCAGGUUGUGUGGAUUGGGAUAAAGUGGGCAGAUUUGGUUAAUCUAUCCACAAUUACCCAAAUGGCAUCGUGACCUGCUUGUGAGCGAGGUAAUCCAACGAUAAAAUCCAUAGUAAUCCUCUCCCACUUCCACACUGGUAUGGGUAAACUCUGAAGUUUUCCCGCAGGAAGUCGAUGUUCAGCUUUAACUUGCUGACAUGUUAAGCACUUAGCUACAAAGUCUGCAACUUCCUUUUUCAUUCCAGGCCACCAGUAGGUUAACUUCAAAUCUUUAUACAUCUUUGUACUUCCAGGGUGUACAGUAUACGGCGCCCGGUGUGCUUCUUUCAAGAUUUCUUCUUUAAUAUCUGGAUUGGCAGGCACACAAAUUCUAUCACCGAAUUUUAGCAAUCCCUGAUCAUCCACUCGAAAAUCGCCAAUUGGAUCAACAGUGAUCUUUGCUCGAAUCUUUUGCAGGGAUUCAUCUUGAGCUUGCUUUUCUUUAAUUCGAUCGAUCAGGGUAGGCCGCACCACUAAUGACAUAAGUCUCCAAGGCGUAUCAGGAGCUACAACUUCCAAAUUUAAUUGCUCCAUUUCCUUUACCAACAGGGAUUGCAUUGUUAUCGACAUCGCCAAAUUUUCCGUCGAUUUUCGACUUAAAGCAUCUGCUACAACAUUAGCUUUUCCCGGAUGAUAGAGAAUGGUCAAAUCAUAAUCCUUGAGCAACUCCAACCAUCUACGUUGCCUCAAGUUUAAUUCCUUCUGAGUAAACAGAUACUUUAAGCUCUUAUGAUCGGUGUAAACCUCGCAACGCUCGCCGUAGAGGUAGUGGCGCCAAAGCUUUAAGGCAAAUACCACCGCUGCUAACUCCAGAUCAUGUGUAGGGUAGUUCUUUUCAUAAUCCUUUAAUUGGCGUGAUGCAUAAGCAAUCACCUGGCCAUUCUGCAUUAGAACACACCCUAAGCCAUUCAACGACGCAUCGCUGUAAAUCACAUAGUCCACUCCAGUAACAGGCAGUGCCAGAAUUGGGGCGGUAGUCAAUCGUUCCUUCAGUUCUUGAAAGCUUCUUUCACAGGCUUCGUUCCACAGAAACUUAGCUCCUUUAUGUGUGAGUCGAGUGAGAGGAGUAGACAUCUUUGCAAAUCCCUCUACAAAUCUUCGGUAGUAUCCCGCCAAACCAAGGAAACUCCGAAUUUCUGUGACACUGGUCGGCCUAGGCCAAUCUUUAAUCGCUUCAAUCUUCUUUGGAUCCACAGCUAUCCCAGUUUCUGAAAUCACAUGGCCCAGAAAUGCCACUUCUCGAAGCCAAAAUUCGCAUUUCUUUAACUUUGCAAACAGUUUCUUUUCUCGAAGUACUUGCAACACCACUCUCAAAUGGUCUUCAUGCUCUUUGUCACUUCGAGAAUAGAUCAAGAUAUCGUCAAUAAACACUACUACGAAUCUAUCCAAAUAGGGCUUAAAGACACGGUUCAUUAAAUCCAUAAACGCUGCUGGGGCAUUAGUCAGUCCAAAUGGCAUAACUGUAAAUUCAUAAUGCCCAUACCGUGUUCUAAAAGCGGUCUUAGAAACAUCUUCAGGCUUGAUCUUAAGCUGAUGAUAACCAGAUUGCAAAUCAAUCUUGGAGUAUACUUUCGAUCCUUGCAGCUGAUCGAAUAAGUCAUCAAUUCUGGGCAAUGGAUAUUUAUUCUUGAUUGUGACUUUGUUGAUUUCUCGAUAAUCCACGCACAAUCGAAGAGAUCCAUCUUUCUUCUUGACAAAUAACACCGGUGCUCCCCAAGGCGAUACACUCGGUCGAAUAAAUCCUUUGUCUAAAAGAUCUUGUAAUUGUGCCUUCAGCUCUUUUAACUCAGCGGGUGCCAUUCUAUAGGGUGCUUUAGAAAUAGGAGUUGUCCCAGGGACAAGAUCAAUCACAAACUCCACUUCCCUAUCAGGUGGCAUGCCCGGCAACUCAGCUGGAAACACAUCCCCGAAUUCCCGCACAACUGGGAUAUCAUCAAUCUUGAUGGCUUCACCACCACUCACAGAGAUGCUAGCCAGAUAGGCUACACACCCUCUCCGUAUCAACUGUCGGGCUCGCGAAGAGCUAAUAGUCAUUGCGAACAAUGAACUCUGACACCCUUUAUAAACAAACUCCUGUUGACCCGGUUCCCUAAAGGUCACCGUUCUGUUCGUGCAAUCUAUGGUGGCAUAAUACUGUGUCAACCAAUCCAUACCCAAUACUACAUCAAACUCACCUAGUUUGUGUAGUGCCAAUAAAUCCACUGGCAUAAUCCAGUCGCCUACCCUAACUGGGCAGCGAGGGCAAAACUCACGAACAUCUAGGGUAUGGUCAGGUACAAUCACUCGUCCCAGAUGCAAAGUAGGUGCUAAAGGAAUGCUAUGCAACUCGGCGAACUGCCGAUCAAUAAAAGAAUGCGAAGCACCAGUAUCAAAUAAUGCACGAACACGAAUAUCAUAAAGCAUAAUAAUACCUGCUACGACCUCCUGUGCUGCUGCGGCGCCCUCGGUCUGGGCGGCAUACAUCCGCCCACUCGAACCCUGCUGCGAACUCUCCGACUGCCGCUGUCCUGGUGGUCGCCUAGACUGAUAAGGCGCUGUCGGGGUGCCCUGGCUCGGAGCUGAAGAUGCAGGUGCAGAAGCUGACGAGGGUGCAGGCAAAGAACCUCUCGGGCACUCUGAACGAAAGUGGCCCUCCUGGCCGCAAAGAAAGCACCUGCCCCCACGCUGUGGACACUGUGGCGGUACGUGAGGCCCACCACAGAUAACACAACGCGGCGGUCGUCGACGCUCGGGUGCUCCACGGGGUGCUGAAGAUCCUCGACCCCUCGACUGUCCUGACUGUCCCCUCGGAUACUUUGGCGGUCUCCUGAAGGCCUGCUGACCACUGCUCUCAGCUGCUGGUCUCUUGCCUUUGCUUCGAUCCACAACAUCUCUUUCCUUCAUGAUUUCUGCCCCCUUCUCAACAAUCAAAGCCCGGUUCACGACGUCCCGGUAAGUGGAGAGGUUUGACGCCUGGACCAAUCUGAAGAUCGCAGGUCGCAAACCCACCUCAAAAAUACGAGCCUUGUCCUCAUCGUCUCGGACUACAAAAGGAACACAGUGCAGUAAUCGAGAGAACUCUCGCUCGUACUCAGCCACUGUCCUGUCCCCCUGUCUCAAGUUCCUCAGAUCCCUUUCCAUCUGCCUCUUCACACUCUGUGGAAAAUAGGUAGUCAACAACAACUCCUUGAACCUGUUCCACGUGAUAGCAGACAAAUCAGCACGGGGAUCCUCCCGGAUGUCCACCCACCACCUGUAAGCCUCGCCAUCAAGGUGGUGUGUCGCAAACCAAACUCGGUACCGCUCCUCAACAAAAGUGUCAUAGAAUAGUUUCUCCAUAUGCAUUAACCAUUUUUCAACCACCCAAUGAUCUGCUUUCUCCCCAUCAAAGACACGAGGGUUGCAGCGACGGAAUUCAUUCAGUCGUUCCAUCAUCCGCUCUCGCUCCUCAACCCCCACCAUCUCGGGUAACACUGUCCCAGCUGCUGCUACAGGUACUGGUGGUGGUACUACUGUCUCCUGUCGGGUCUCUGCCCUCGGAGCUACUGGGGGUGUAUCGGGUACCGGUGACUGUGCUCUCACUGUGGUGCCCCUCUCUGGUACUAUAGGUACAGAAUCCGGAGGUACAGAACCUGGAAUCUCUCUAUCGGUCGUCUGCCGCAGUAAUAGAUCCUCUAACCUCUUCAUCCUGUCCUCCUGCCGACGCGCAGCGUCCAUCUGCUGUCGUGCUGCCGCGGCCUGCUGAGUAACCAACUCUGUCAACGUCGCAAGCUGAUCCUGCAACUCAUGGAGCUCACUGGACCCCGACGUGACGGAAGUCUCUACCUCUUCCGCAGCGGCCGCCUCAGCCGCCCCGGCGGUUCCAGAACGAGUCGUAGGCAUCUUGAACUGCAACACAAAAACAAACAUAGGUCAAUAAACCCUAUACUACUGAACCCUCAUUGAGGAUAUAAACCAGCUAAUCAAGCGAAAGUAAUGAAAUGUAACGCCUACUAACUUCCGAUGUCACGUUGUCGGCCGCCAACGUGACCCUCUGCAAAGUUAGUACUUGCACAUCCCGAUCAAACUCCUACUAUUCGGAGUUUAUAAGUACCCAAUCAAAGUACUUUCGCUAACAACAACCUCGACUAGACAUCGUCUCUCACGAGCCUAUCCUUAUAGUCCAACCAGCCUAAGGUUUGCAAGGUCUACUAAGACUCAACCCUAGGCUCUGAUACCACUAUAAUCUGUCACGCCCGGGUACCAGCGGAAGCAUAUCCGGCACGUGCACAGACCCGCCAUACACCUGCAGUAUAUAAGGCGUCUACGAGAAGCAAGUCGAUAGGAAGUAAAACAAGAGAGUCCUAUCCUGAUAUCAGAGCAAAGUACAAGUCGAUAUACAACGAGUAUCCAAUCCGAGUCAAAAUACAAAGUGUAUACAAACCAUGAUCUCAGCAAAAAGGAGAAGUAACACUACUAUAAUCUCAACCCCGAAAGUAAAUAUACAUCACGGGUGUACAAAAAGAAUAGAUACAAUGGUGGUCUCUCUAUAUAUAUAUGGACAUCACCCUCGGCCGUAGCCCGAGUAGCAAGGUGAUCGACUAGCACGCUCCUAGUAGUCCCUAGCUAGGCGCGACUCCCUUGCCACGAUCCCUAGCCUCUCCUGUAACAGGCUCUGUAAAAACAACCACCAAAAGGGCGUGAGAACUAUUAACAAUAGUUCCCAGUGGGUAAGCCGCCAGCCUCGGCGAAUUACACCACUAGGCUCAAGAUGUACAGAAUGGAAAUAAAAGCAGUAAUUUGCAUGAUAUAUUUUCAAUGCUAACAAUUCAUAAGCCAAUGUUAACAAAUAAUGAACAUGUAAACAACAUGUGAUCAUAGCAUCAACAGUAAUGAAUCAACUGAAUGAUAGAAGCAUGGCUACUACUAUAAGCAUAAACAUAGCAUAAGUGUGUAAGUAACUACUGUACACUGUAACUGGUAAUCAUUCAUUACUGUCCAAUUUCCUUUAGCACUUUCCUUUCAUUCACAGGGAUCUACUCAAGGUAGUCCAGCUUGCGCCGCGCCUAAUGGCCCCGUGGUAGUAUACACUCCCCACGGCAAUCCACUUCGGCACCCAAUCCCGCACGGGCGAGCAACUGUCGCGUAGGCCAACUCCGGAGUGCCGGCUUGUAGGGAGCUACCCUCACAAGCGUGUGCGAAUGAGCACGAUGGCAAGCAAGCAAGGUCCACAGUCCAACAUGUCUCAAUUAUCAUGUUUUAGUUCACAAUAUUCUCGUUCUCGAUCCUUUGAUCGACAUUUCAGUAUAACAAAUAUUAACAACAACUAGAAUCCACUAGUUUAGUAAGCAUACAGGAGUAAUGCUAAUUUACAUAUGGCAUUAGAAUCUUUCCACUAUCAUGGAGGCAUAAAGCAUGUCAUUGUCCUCUACUUUAGAGUUCAGAGAAUGUCAUAAGAACAUCAUUGUUCUCUAGUGUCUAGGAACAUACUAGAAACAUAUCAACUAGUCAGCAUAAACAUGAAUACUUUAUGCAUGUAUGUUCUCUACUUAAUAGAGAUUCCAUUUCAAAUAAGCUAACAUUAAGGUGACGCAUUUCAAGUCCCUAUUAAUCAUAUAAGCAUAGGCUAGACCACUUCUAUAAUACAUAUAGAACAUAGGGGAGCUUCACUUGCUCUGGUUAGGUCCGACCUACCUCGUACUAAGCUUAAAUCAGCCACAAGAUGUCCCAAGGAUCAGCUCAACAAAGUCCCAAACCUACUGAAAACAAGGUAACAAAACCGCACCGAGCCGAUUACUUACAAUUCCAAUUUCGGCAAAAUUCCUAAUAGAUACAAAGUGGAAGCUUAAUUCCAUGCUUUGGCUUAGUUCAUUACCUCACGUUAAGCUUCCGGAAGGCCCUCCAAUGCCAAACGAAGGCGAUCCAAGGGUCAAAUACCUUCUCGCUGCGAACAAUA
RNAcentral lists this long non-coding RNA (8862 nucleotides) under Ananas comosus (pineapple). Its description in RNAcentral is "long non-coding RNA (ACOM_LNC001792)". Lineage: Eukaryota; Viridiplantae; Streptophyta; Magnoliopsida; Poales; Bromeliaceae. The record is from RNAcentral.